UACGUAGGGGGCAAGCGUUGUCCGGAUUUAUUGGGCGUAAAGAGCUCGUAGGCGGUUUGGUAAGUCAGGUGUGAAAUCUCGGAGCUUAACUCCGAAACUGCAUUCGAUACUGCCGUGCUUGAGGACUGGAGAGGAGACUGGAAUUUACGGUGUAGCGGUGAAAUGCGUAGAUAUCGUAAGGAAGACCAGUGGCGAAGGCGGGUCUCUGGACAGUUCCUGACGCUGAGGCACGAAGGUCAGGGGAGCAAACGGG
Molecule: ribosomal RNA, 253 nt
Filed under: uncultured bacterium
Lineage: Bacteria
Description: partial 16S ribosomal RNA
Rfam family: Bacterial small subunit ribosomal RNA
Source: RNAcentral